UGUGAUGUUUCUUGUGUGCUC
This 21-nucleotide non-coding RNA is filed under the name Arabidopsis thaliana (thale cress). The record is from RNAcentral. Lineage: Eukaryota; Viridiplantae; Streptophyta; Magnoliopsida; Brassicales; Brassicaceae.